This 465-nucleotide ribosomal RNA is filed under the name uncultured bacterium. Its description in RNAcentral is "partial 16S ribosomal RNA". It matches the Rfam family "Bacterial small subunit ribosomal RNA", at positions 28 to 507 of the family's 1533-position model. The record is from RNAcentral.
GACGAACGCUGGCGGCGUGCUUAACACAUGCAAGUCGAACGGAAAGGCCCUGCUUGCCGGGUACUCGAGUGGCGAACGGGUGAGUAACACGUGGGUGAUCUGCCCUGCACUUCGGGGUAAGCCUGGGAAACGGGGUCUAAUACCGGAUAGGAGACAUUUUUAGUGUGAGGGUUGGAAAGUUUUUUCGGUGUAGGAUGAGCUCGCGGCCUAUCAGCGGGUUGGUGGGGUAAUGGGCUACCAAGGCGGCGACGGGUAGCCCGCCUGUGGGGGUGGGCGGCCACCUUGGGACUGAGGUACGGCCCAGACUCCUACGGGAGGCCGCUGUGGGGAAUCUUGCACAAUGGGCGCCAGCCUGAUGCAGCGACGCCUCGUGGUGGAUGACGGUCUUCGGGUUGUAAACUCCUUUCGCUAGGGACGAAGCUUUUUGUGACGGUACCUAGAUAAUAAGCACCGGCUAACUACGUG